Molecule: ribosomal RNA, 1470 nt
Filed under: Triticum aestivum (bread wheat)
Lineage: Eukaryota; Viridiplantae; Streptophyta; Magnoliopsida; Poales; Poaceae
Description: partial small subunit ribosomal RNA
Source: RNAcentral
AUGGCUGGUCUCGAGUUUGUAGUACUGGCAGUGCCGGCGGCAGCGGUGGCGCGGCUAGUGUUCGGGCUCAUCUCGGAUAUUGUGAAGAAGGCGGAGACAGCCCGCCAGAAUAAGCUAGAGUGCAACUACCUAAAGAGGCACGUAUCCCAGAUCGGCAGGCUGCUGCUUCGCCUGCAGCUGCAGGACCCGGAGGUGGCGGAAGCGCUGGCCGGGCUACGCGACACGCUCCAGGAGGCGCACGUUCUCGUCGUCGCUUGCCAGAAAUCGAACAUGGUCAAGGAGAUCUUCUCUGCGGGCGAGCAGGCGAUGAAGUUCACGCAAGUCAACGGCAGGAUCGACUCUCACCUCCUCGUCAUUCAAUUGCUCAGCCAAAUCUCCAUUACCCACCGCCUCGAUCGGAUCCUCUCUCCUAAUCACACCAGCAUACUGGUGCCGUCGCCAGGCUACGGCGACGACUACGGCUCCGGCUCGCGCUCUCUGCAGCUGAAGGAGUCUGCGAAGGUCCCCUAUGUGGGCUCAACCUCAAUGCAUGCAGUUGUCCACUUCACAUCAGCGGAGAUCGCCGUCUUGACCGGGAACUACGGCCAUGUGCUCAGCGAGGACAGCUCCGGAACGGUGUACAAGGGCAUUCUCCACGACGGCCAGGAGGUGGCCGUCAAGAGCCUGAAGAACAAAGGGAGUCAACGAGAGGGUGCGUUCGUGUCGGAGCUCGAGACCCUCUCCCAGCUCCGUCACGACCACAUCUUGCGCCUCGUGGGCUGGUGCUCUGAGGACGACGACCGCAUGUUCAUCUACCAGUACCAGCACAUGAGCAACGGCACGCUCAGGGACCACCUGACGAAGGGCGGAAGCGAAGGCUCUGCCUCUGCGUCACCGGUGACGUCGUCGUGGAAAGCGCGUCUCCAGACGCUGCUGGGCGUGGCCGGUGCCAUCGAUUACCUGCACCGCUUCGCCGUGACGGGGAUCAUCCACCGAAACGUCAGCUCCUCGAGCAUCCUUCUCGACAAGAGCUGUGUGCCUUGCCUGUCGGACUUCGGCGCGGCGAUUUUGCAAGUGCCGACGACGGGCGGCCAGCACGUCGGGGACGUGGUCGGCAGAGUCGGGUACACAGACCCGGAGUACUGCCGCACGAGAUGCGUGAGUCCGGCGAGCGAUGUGUACAGCUUCGGCGUGGUGAUACUCGAGGUGUUGACCGGGAGGCCGCCUAGCUGGGAAGGGAAGCUCCCGAACACCUUGGUUGGCUUUGCCGUCCCGAUCAUCAAGAGUGGGAACCUGCGCUCUGUGCUGGACAGGCGUCCGUCGCCGAAGCCUACGCCCAGACAGAUGGAGGCGCUGGAGCUCGUCGCAUACACGGCAACACGCUGUCUGUGGCAGCAGGAUCGACCCUUCAUGGCAAACGUGGUGAUCAACCUCCAUACGGCGCUCGGGCUCAUAGACGGCGAUGAGCCGAAGCGACUCCAAUGGAGCUAG